UACGUAGGGGGCGAGCGUUGUCCGGAUUUAUUGGGCGUAAAGAGCGUGUAGGCGGCUUGGCAAGUCCGCUGUGAAAACUCGAGGCUCAACCUCGAGACGUCGGUGGAAACUGCCUGGCUUGAGUCCGGAAGAGGAGAGUGGAAUUCCUGGUGUAGCGGUGAAAUGCGCAGAUAUCAGGAAGAACACCCGUGGCUAAGGCGGCUCUCUAGUACGGUACUGACGCUGAGACGCGAAAGCGUGGGGAGCGAACAGG
This 253-nucleotide ribosomal RNA is filed under the name uncultured bacterium. RNAcentral describes it as "partial 16S ribosomal RNA". It matches the Rfam family "Bacterial small subunit ribosomal RNA", at positions 524 to 776 of the family's 1533-position model. The record is from RNAcentral.